GUAACGGCGAGUGAAGCGGCAACAGCUCAAAUUUGAAAUCUGGCCUCUUCGGGGUCCGAGUUGUAAUUUGUAGAGGGUGUUUCGGGCGCGAUGCCGGUCUAAGUUCCUUGGAACAGGACGUCGUAGAGGGUGAGAAUCCCGUAUGCGACCGGCGAUCAAGCCUGUGUGAAGCCCCUUCGACGAGUCGAGUUGUUUGGGAAUGCAGCUCAAAAUGGGUGGUAAAUUUCAUCUAAAGCUAAAUAUUGGCCAGAGACCGAUAGCGGACAAGUAGAGUGAUCGAAAGAUGAAAAGCACUUUGGAAAGAGAGUCAAACAGUACGUGAAAUUGUUGAAAGGGAAGCGCUUGCAAUCAGACCGGUCCGGAGGCGAUCAGCCGCUGCUCGUCAGCGGUGCACUCGCCUGCGAUCCGGCCAGCAUCGGUUUGGGCGGUGGGAUAAAAGUCCCGGGAAUGUAGCUUCUUUCGGGGAGUCUUAUAGCCCGGGUCGCAAUGCCGCCCGCUCGGACCGAGGACCGCGCUUCGGCUAGGAUGCUGGCGUAAU
This 538-nucleotide ribosomal RNA is filed under the name Sticta filix. Its description in RNAcentral is "eukaryotic LSU rRNA". It matches the Rfam family "Eukaryotic large subunit ribosomal RNA", at positions 83 to 635 of the family's 3401-position model. Lineage: Eukaryota; Fungi; Ascomycota; Lecanoromycetes; Peltigerales; Lobariaceae. The record is from RNAcentral.